GCCGGGCGCGGUGGCGCGUGCCUUCAGUCCCAGCGACUCCCGAGGCUGAGGUGGGAGCAUCGCUCGGGCGCAGGGGUUCUGGGCUGCAGGGCGCUGUGCCGAUCGGGUGUCCGCACUGAGCCAGGCAUCAAUAGGGUGACCUCCCGGGACCCCCAGGUUGCCUAAGGAGGUGUGACCCGGCCCAGGUCGGAAACGGAGCAGGUCAAAACACCGGUGCGGAGCAGUAGUGGGAUCGCGCCUGUGAACAGCCACUGCACUCCAGCCUGGGCAACAUAGCAAGACCCCGUCUCUU
This 292-nucleotide signal recognition particle RNA is filed under the name Saimiri boliviensis boliviensis (Bolivian squirrel monkey). RNAcentral describes it as "Metazoan signal recognition particle RNA (ENSSBOG00000001941.1)". It matches the Rfam family "Metazoan signal recognition particle RNA". Rfam says of the family: The signal recognition particle (SRP) is a universally conserved ribonucleoprotein. It is involved in the co-translational targeting of proteins to membranes. The eukaryotic SRP consists of a 300-nucleotide 7S RNA and six proteins: SRPs 72, 68, 54, 19, 14, and 9. Lineage: Eukaryota; Metazoa; Chordata; Mammalia; Primates; Cebidae. The record is from Rfam by way of RNAcentral.